This 365-nucleotide ribosomal RNA is filed under the name uncultured bacterium. Its description in RNAcentral is "bacterial SSU rRNA". It matches the Rfam family "Bacterial small subunit ribosomal RNA", at positions 360 to 740 of the family's 1533-position model. The record is from RNAcentral.
AAUUUUCCGCAAUGGGCGAAAGCCUGACGGAGCAAUACCGCGUGAGGGAGGACGGCUUUUGGGUUGUAAACCUCUUUUAUCAGGGAAGAAUCGAUGACGGUACCUGAUGAAUCAGCAUCGGCUAACUCCGUGCCAGCAGCCGCGGUAAUACGGAGGAUGCAAGCGUUAUCCGGAAUUAUUGGGCGUAAAGCGUCCGUAGGUGGUUUAUCAAGUCUGCUGUCAAAGCGUGCGGCUUAACCGCAUAAGGGCAGUGGAAACUGAUGAACUAGAGUGCGAUAGGGGUAACAGGAAUUCCCAGUGUAGCGGUGAAAUGCGUAGAUAUUGGGAAGAACACCAGCGGCGAAAGCGUGUUACUGGGUCUGCAC